CUGGAAGAAUGGUACACGUGGGAGAGAGCAUUUACCGUCCAUGUUAAACGCCAGUCAAAGAUGACUUUUAUUUUUCCACGUUUCCCCGCCCUCUAAUUUUUUUGGCCUCUUUCGCCAUUCCCACCCUCUUCCCAAGAAAGCUGCAUUCCCAACAAAAACCACCACCCAUCGAACAUAGCAGGAUCCCAAAGAAAAAAUGGCCAAUAGGAAGACAUCCGAAUUAACACCCAGGUCAUCCGUAUCCGACCUAUGUAUACAGACAAAAUGCAAUUGAUAUGUCGAAUCAAAAGAAAAAGAAAAGGAAAGGCGCAGAAAAGAGAAUAACACAGGAUUGAGAAAAAGAAUAAAGGAUAUUUCCGUCAGCCGUCAUACUCCCCU
This 378-nucleotide small RNA is filed under the name Histoplasma capsulatum. RNAcentral's name for it is "hypothetical RNA". Lineage: Eukaryota; Fungi; Ascomycota; Eurotiomycetes; Onygenales; Ajellomycetaceae. RNAcentral also lists the same sequence under 1 other name. The record is from RNAcentral.